UGGGGAAUAUUGGACAAUGGGCGCAAGCCUGAUCCAGCCAUGCCGCGUGAGUGAUGAAGGCCUUAGGGUUGUAAAGCUCUUUCGCCGACGAAGAUAAUGACGGUAGUCGGAGAAGAAGCCCCGGCUAACUUCGUGCCAGCAGCCGCGGUAAUACGAAGGGGGCUAGCGUUGUUCGGAAUCACUGGGCGUAGAGCGCACGUAGGCGGAUUGUUAAGUCAGGGGUUGAAAGCCUGGAGCUCAACUCCAGAACUGCCCUUGAUACUGGCAAUCUCGAGUCCGGAAGAGGUAAGUGGAACUGCGAGUGUAGAGGUGAAAUUCGUAGAUAUUCGCAAGAACACCAGUGGCGAAGGCGGCUUACUGGUCCGGUACUGACGCUGAGGUGCGAAAAGCGUGGGGAGCAAAACAGGAUUAGAUACCCUGGUAGUCCACGCCGUAAACGAUGGAGGCUAGCCGUUGGCGAGCAUGCUCGUCAGUGGCGCAGCUAACGCAUUAAGCCUCCCGCCUGGGGAGUACGGUCGCAAGAUU
Molecule: ribosomal RNA, 525 nt
Filed under: uncultured bacterium
Lineage: Bacteria
Description: partial 16S ribosomal RNA
Rfam family: Bacterial small subunit ribosomal RNA
Source: RNAcentral